This 505-nucleotide ribosomal RNA is filed under the name uncultured bacterium. RNAcentral's name for it is "partial 16S ribosomal RNA". It matches the Rfam family "Bacterial small subunit ribosomal RNA", at positions 28 to 507 of the family's 1533-position model. The record is from RNAcentral.
GGCGAACGCUGGCGGCGUGCCUAAUACAUGCCAGUAGAACGCACAGUUUAUACCGUAGCUUGCUACACCAUAGACUGUGAGUUGCGAACGGGUGAGUAACGCGUAGGUAACCUGCCUGGUAGCGGGGGAUAACUAUUGGAAACGAUAGCUAAUACCGCAUAAUAUUGAUUAUUGCAUGAUAAUUAAUUGAAAGGUGUAAUUGCACCACUACCAGAUGGACCUGCGUUGUAUUAGCUAGUAGGUGAGGUAACGGCUCACCUAGGCGACGAUACAUAGCCGACCUGAGAGGGUGAUCGGCCACACUGGGACUGAGACACGGCCCAGACUCCUACGGGAGGCAGCAGUAGGGAAUCUUCGGCAAUGGACGAAAGUCUGACCGAGCAACGCCGCGUGAGUGAAGAAGGGUUUCGGAUCGUAAAGCUCUGUUGUAAGAGAAGAACGGGUGUGAGAGUGGAAAGUUCACACUGUGACGGUAUCUUACCAGAAAGGGACGGCUAACUACGUG